Molecule: ribosomal RNA, 425 nt
Filed under: uncultured bacterium
Lineage: Bacteria
Description: partial 16S ribosomal RNA
Rfam family: Bacterial small subunit ribosomal RNA
Source: RNAcentral
GUGGGGAAUCUUGCGCAAUGGGCGAAAGCCUGACGCAGCCAUGCCGCGUGAAUGAUGAAGGUCUUAGGAUUGUAAAAUUCUUUCACCGGGGACGAUAAUGACGGUACCCGGAGAAGAAGCUCCGGCUAACUUCGUGCCAGCAGCCGCGGUAAUACGAAGGGGGCUAGCGUUGCUCGGAAUUACUGGGCGUAAAGGGCGCGUAGGCGGACAGCUUAGUCAGAGGUGAAAGCCCAGGGCUCAACCUUGGAAUUGCCUUUGAUACUGGCUGUCUUGAGUUUGGUAGAGGUGAGUGGAACUCCGAGUGUAGAGGUGAAAUUCGUAGAUAUUCGGAAGAACACCAGUGGCGAAGGCGACUCACUGGCCCAAUACUGACGCUGAGGCGCGAAAGCGUGGGGAGCAAACAGGAUUAGAUACCCUUGUAGUCC